ACUCACUGAAGUCGCAAGCUCCCAUCAAUUUCUUACUAGAUGAUAAAAAUAUACCAAACAUCCUUACCGUCUUACUCAUAGUCAAUUCAGUUCAGAGCUGCAGUGCAUCGCAUUAAUUAAUGGCGCAGGUUCUAAUAGUUAUGGAGUAUGCGUUUAGGUGCUUUUUCCAAGCAAGAAAUGAGCAAUCUUAAACUUUCUGCUUACUAUCAUUGGAUAGCUAUAAGAAGCAUGCCUACAAGAGGUUGUAAAACAACUGUUGGACACCCAGAGUGAUGAACCGAACAAGAGGACAGGCUCCAGGCCAGUCACAAUCAGAUGCCGCCAAGUUCAUUCUCAGCGUAAAAGAACGGCACUGGCCAGCCUUACACAACCAGCCAUAAUGUCCUCAACUACACUCCUCUCAACUACACUCCUCUUUGAAGCUGUCAUUGAUAACGCAUUGAAUGAGAUACGCAUUGAAUGAGAUACAGGACAGCAGGGACCCAAAAUGUUUCACAACACUACUUCAGACUAAGGUGAAGAGCUUGUUCUCACAAGUUUCAACUUCAUAUCUUCAGAAAAAGUACUUCAACGAAGUGUUUCACAAAAUUGAGCAUAAACGCCAUCUGGCUAUCUUCAUUCCGAGUCGUUGAAGGCGUUACUCCUAAACACUGAUGUGCGGCAUUCUUCGUGAUUAUUGUGAUGGAGCGCAUUUUAUUAUGAUGAUUUGGAGACUCUUGGCUAAAUUAGGUUAUAAUUAUAGGUGCAUGCUGCGGAAUGUUUACUGGACUCUUCUCAACAUUCAUCCUGCCCAUCGAUCCACUUUGCACUCCUGGCAGUUGCUAGUCCUGAUUCUGUACUUGCGCCAAUGGUGAAAGACUUGAAGACACUUGCUACGGAGGGUAUAUCACUGGUUCUUCCCGAUGGCACUAUGAGACAGUAUUACGGCUGCCUGGUAGCAUUUCUCGCAGAUAACCCACCCAGCAGCAGCAGGGUUUCAAGGAAGGUGGGGGUGGAGCUUUAAAAUGUUGCCGUACUUGCAUGGUUUCAAGCAAUGAUUUGUCAUCAUCUUUGGAUUCCUCUCGUCUGACACUACGAAGGCACAUAGAGAUCACAUAGAGAUCAGUGCAAAGAAUUGGAUCUCACGCCAUAUUGGUCUUUGUGGCUCCUUUAAUACUUGUACACUGAAUCAUUUGUAAGAGGCAGGUCAAACUCCAAAGAAGCUUCGUAAACUGCAAACGCAAUCGAAAACUUGUGUUUGACCAUGAAGUCUCAGGCAACAACCUAUGAAUUAGUACUCAUGAGGUGGUAAAGUCUCAAUACUAAAAUUAAUGUGAAGCUGCAACAUGACAUUUGGAUCAAGCAUACAUUUGGAACAAAUUGAUGUUUAGGUAGAUGUGCACAGUAGAGUUAUUUUGUCAAUGCAGCUGACUGAAUUGAUAAUUGGCACAACUUAUCGUGUGAAAAGUCCGUGCUUUCCAUGCACACACACACAGUUGCGUUCAACUAAGGAACCGCAGUCGAGAUUUGUUGACACUCCGUUUGUGUGAAACUUUCCCCAGAACCAGAUAAUACACAUACUUCAAAGAUAUUAUCAUUUAAGUAUUUAAAUGGAUUACAUACGUGAACCGAUGUGGGCGUGUAUAUGCAGGUAACUAACAUGCAAGGUGAAAAAGUACUAGGUCUCUAAUAACAACCCACGCUAUUCUGUUUCAUGCUGCUGUUCUCCUCUAGCUGCUACAGUAUAAUUAUUGUGUUCAGUGUUUAUGAAAACGACAGUACAUUGAGGUAUAAUGAUAAUAGUUAUGUGCUCAUUGAGAGCUGAUAGAUAUGUGCUCCUAAUUGUUGCAUUUGCGCUAACUUUAAAUGAUGGCCCAUCUCGAAUCUAUCGUGAGUACUGAAGUGCACUUUCCGCCAAUUGUACUUUACACACUGUAGGGUGAAAUGCCAUUAUACUACGUCAUCGCCCUCGGAUGAUCGACUUUCAAUAUUUGUAGUCAAAGCGAUGACAGUUAGAUAUAGCCAGGAGUCAUGUCCAAGCACUACUGAUGCACCUGGUUUCGUUACGUAGAGAAAUCAUAGAUGUCUUUGUACCAGGGCAUGAGGGUCUCUGGUACCUCCUCAACUUUGUAACCCUUAGCCAUCUGAUUGACUGACUGCUUUCUCUGACCAGUAAGAUGAGGGGUCAUAGUGUAGCGUUCAGUUUUCAUAUUGUCAGGACCUCCUUGCCAGUAAUUAAUACACAAAAAAAUGAAUAUGUAAGGUACUCUGGUGUAUAUAUAUACACAGUACAUGAGCUUCAGCUAUCAUUUAACUUUCACGGUGACCCUUUCCCCGUUUUCAAUUUAAAAAAUUUCCUACAGGUAGUAUAUUGCAUGGUGUUAGUACGCAUGCGUUAGUUUAUUCACCAAGAAUCUGUGGUGAAUCUGGGGAAUCUGAUUAUACUCUCAUAUCUUUGUACAUCAGCUCAAGUUACCUCGAAUUAGGGUGUGGUGUAAUCGAGGCUGUGUAUCAAAGAGGCGGUCUUGGUAUUUUUGUACCUUAGGGGGCAUUCAUUAGGGGGGGCUCUGAUUAUCUUGUCCCGCCCCGCAUGCCCUCAACCACAAUCUUCAUACUGCUGAUCUAUACUACUACAUCAAGAUGAUUCAACAUGAGAUUUCCAAAAAACUAAUUAGUGUAAAGUACAAUCAUCAUCAUCAACAUAAUUAUGCAGACACGAUUCAAAGAUUGUUUUACAGCAGUCACUGUUAUUGUAAGGACAACUGAGCACUAGGCUGCAGACUAAAAAUGAAGCUCAAACUCCUGCACUACACUCAAUAUGGCACUACACUCAGUAUGGCUGUUGAAGGCCAAUGUUGAAGGCCAAAAAAGGGUAUCAAAAGAAGCGGAGCACUACAAUAUAUCCACCUGAAUCCGAUUACAGUACCGAUUACAGUACUUCAUAAACCGGUGUAUCCAGUCCCUUGGAUGUAGGCACCAUAAUUAUGUCAAUGUCAAUGCAAGCUAUAUAUGUAGUGUCACUUACUGCAUGUGUCAGGUUGCCAGGGAGUUACUAGUAGGUUUAAAGAGUGUUAUCUGUAAGUUGGUGUUUGAAAAUGAGCAAGAUGCUGAAUACCAACAACCGAAAAUGAAAGCAGUGCUUAAGAUCUAGCACUUAAAUUUUGUUGAAAGAAUGAUUUGCUGAAUUUGAUACUCGCCAUUCAGAAAGAAACACGUCCCAUGCGUGACAAGCUUCUGGAGGGUCUGAGGUGCCAAUUAACUUGCAAAAUCCAGGUAUAUAAACACACACGUAUGCACAUAUAUUUACUAGAGUGACACAAGGUGUCAUGGGGCGAGCGUGUUAGCAGUACAGGUGGUUCACAUCUAUGUGUUGUGAAUACCUAUGCCUGUCUUGUUCCAAGCGUGCCUGUCUGGCCUCAGGAGUCUCUGUAGAAAAAAAACACUGGCCACUUGUCUUACCCGAGGCUCUGCUGGUUUGAGUUGAAGCAGUCUGUAGGCGAGUAUCUGUAUAUAUCACCUGUACGCCGCCUGUACUUACCUGAAGCUGUGCUGGUUUGGGCCAUUUGCUGCCUGGCCCGUCUCUUGGCAUCGGCAUCCAGUGCAAUCGUUACCUUGAAUCUCGAGUGCCCUGGCUAGCUAGCCUGACUUCUUUCUCUUCAGCUGUUUCUUGGGCUCUUGCUUGUCCCUUCGAAGUCUUUAUUCUUAUGCCUCCAGUUGUGCAAAAUACGGACCGCGUGUGUAAAAACCGCCGAUUAACGUACCAUACAUACAUAUAGCCUCCCCUAGAAUAGUGGGCCUGGUAUUUACUGUUGGCGCGUGGGUGGACAAUUAAUUUAUUAUUUACCGUAUUUUAUCUCAUUGAACGUUAUUGUGAUAAAGAACAGUCUGUAUAUACUGUAGACAGAGACAGCUAAGUAAAACAUCAGCUCAACUUGAGGCUCGGAUCGGAUACACACUCAGGCGACAAGUUAAUCUCAGUUAAACCUGUGGGUAAAAAAUAAAUGUGGAUAAGUACAGUGGCUAACAUAAUGUGAGGACUACACUAUCCAUUAAUACACACUCAAGCAACAAGUGCGGAUACACACUCAAGCAACAAGUCCCUCGGAUCGGAUACACACAAGUCCCUCGGAUUGUAAACACUCUCGGAUCAGAUACCACGUACUUACUCUGUGACCAAUUUUCGGCAAAUGUCACAAUACUUAGAGUAUGGCACUGAACGUCGAACAGAUAAACAGAUAAACAAGAGGAGACUUCUUUCAGAGAGAGGUGCACUGGUCCUGUCAAUGAGAAAGGGAGUGUCUGGAAAGCAGAUGGACGGACUUGCCAUAGCCGGUCAGUACGGUACCCACAUAAACACCAGCGUACAGACACCCUCCAGCUGCUUGUCUUUCAAGACUAGACCUGGUUUUCCAACACAGGAUAACGCGUACGCGAGAGCAAGGUAGAAGGUAGCAGCCAUUACACAAUUUUUCAAUGACAUCAUUAUAAAUGAAACGGAUAUCAGAUAUCAAUGUUUUACAAACUUAUGCGGAAUAAGAAAUAUACUGCAAUUUACUGCAAUUUACGAUUACCCAGAUUCUGGGGCCAGCGGCUUGGAAUCAUACAUACAGAGAAAUUGUCUACGAUAAGCUUAGUUUUAGAUGAGUGAUGGGGUGGAUUUGACAUGUAGCUGGUGAUGUGGACUUGGUGAUGUGGACUUGGGAAAUGUGAAGUUGCAGAAGUGCAAGAACUUGUAUCUUAACCAGGGGGGGAGUGAUGAUGUGGAUGAUGUAGCGGGUGAUGUGGACAUUAUUACAUCAUGUGGAAGUUGCAGAAGUUGUAUCUUAACCAGUGGCGUAGCCAGGGGGGUCAGUCUGAGUCAAAUAUACAAAUCACACAGAAAACUUACAGAUCUUGCUGCAGUUAGCUAGCAAGGAAAACGAUUUAGUCUUAAACUGUGAGAGAAGAGUCAACUGUAGUCUGGAAAUGCUACUUACAAUGCUGGAUGGGACAUUGCAAUCGAUGCAAAGUGAUGAGAGGCACACAAAAACUGUACAAGAUAGGGAUUGAUCUGCACUGUUUAAUCUGUAUAACUGGUUGCAAGUACAGCAGCUACUCACAUAUAUGCUGUAGUCCCGUAUAUGGAAGAUAGAAAGCGUAAACCAUACGCACUUCCAGUACAACUGAUUCCUUAUGUUGGAAUGGGACAAGAGAAAGAAAUGGGGUAUGCGUGGUACAUAAAUAUUACAUCAUGCAUCAUGCAUGCAUGCCGGUACAUGAAUUACACGUAAUUGUUAGGGUUACAACACAUUUAUACUCGUCCGGUAUCUGACAAGUAUAGGAUGAAUGAUUGGUAUUAUAAUUAUGUAAGCGUAAUAAUUAUUAUAAUAUAUUACUACAAUGGUACCACAAGAGGAGAGCUUCUUAAACUUCUGUCUUCCCUCAGCAUCUUUCUUCCUGUUCAAUUUGUACUUUCCUUUACACUUCUUCACUUCUUCCUUCACUUUUUCCUUCAUUUCUUUCAUAUUCGUCCAGUUUUCAAUUUUUCUCCUUAACAAUAUCCUCCAGGCUUCUCUGACUCUGUAAAAAAGCUCAGGAGCACUUGGAGCUGGACUUUCCAUGAUACCAGCUGUGUUGCAGUCAGCUGGUAGGUGUAGGUACGAGAUCAGAAAUGCUAACGGAUCUUCACAGAGCGGAACGGUUAUAAAAUCCGUACAAUGCGGUAGGGUAAAGCCUGAAAUCUGGUUGGUCCAUUGCAACUGAUUGACUCCUCAAUCUUGUGUAGAGUAUAAUGCGGUAGGGUACAAUCCUGCGGCAGUGACUCAUCGAUUUUGUGUAGAGUACAGUGGGGUUGGCUGAUUGGUCCAUUGCAAACUGAUUCUUGAAAGGCAUCCACGACUUUCAAGCUGCUCUCCGUUAGCAUUUCUCAUCUCGUACCUACCAGCUAUGAACAUCUCAAAUCUCAAACCUACCAGCUAUAUCCGUACCAGCAAUCUCAAACCUACCAGGAUGUCAGAACUACGUGUCAACACGCUGAGCCUGUCAAACAAGUUCCAAUAGAAGAAGAGGAAGAGGUGUGACACCCAUAGAAUCUUGAGGCUCAAGUCUCUCCAAUUGAAAAUAGAUUGGUUGGUAGAUGACAAUUACACUCGUUGGUUUUGAUAGUGUCAGUCAAGCUGUUUACGAAGAAGCUGGAAGUAAUCGUAAAGCGAUACACAAAAAUUGAUGUCUCGUCUCGUCUCGUACGUUUCAAGUUGCUUGUUGGUGCGAAGUCGAUAAGGAGUUUGAUCGAGUAAAUGUUCGUGUGAAGGUCAUAAAUAUAGACGGCUAACUAUAAUUGCUAUCAAAGGUUUUCAAAACUUCCAAGUUUGCAUGGAAACUUGACGUCAAUAGCGAUUACACGUCAAUGGCGAUUACAGAAAUUGUCAGAAGUGCAAAACAAUGCAGAAGGUAAGCAGAAGGUAAACAGAUGUGCAUACAGUGAAAUCUGGUCUGGACAUUACGACACUGGAUUGGUCAAUGAGCACAACCUUAUGAAAGUCAAGCCCUUUGAUGUUACGUACAAUAAUUAUGUACAAUAAGUAACUAUUAAUUUGUGAACAUUAUUUUAUUGCUUGCCUGAAUAACUAUGGAUACUACAGGAAUGUUUGUCAUUGCGUAUAGCUCAGCUGGUAUAUAAUUAUUAUUAUUGUUCAUUUAUUCGUUUCACCAUAGUUUCACCAUAGAUACAUAAUUAUGCCUCGGUGCGCAUGAAGUAUACGGUAUAGAAGUAUACGGUAUAGAUGUGUUUGUGUGUCUGUGUUUGUGUGUCUGUGUGUCUGUGUAGACUGCUACAGCUGCCCACUUGCAAAUUUAAUACAUGUAUAUACGUUACACAUAGAUGUUAAUUAUACUGUUAUACUGCAGAUCCAAGUUAAAUGUCUCGUUGAGUGGCUGCUGCUGACUAGUUAAGAGCGGCCAUCGAAGUGUUCCGGUCCUCACUCAAUGAGCAGACCGUCUUUCAACACAGUAAGUGAAGUAAUUAACAAGACAGACCUAGCUAUAUCAUUUGUUAGUAGAGAAUAUAAACAUAAUUAUAUUCUCUGUUCUUAAAACAGCUUUAUGCUUAUAUAUCAGUUAUAUCAGCACCUACAGUUCGUUCCCAAUACGUUCUCUACAACAUGCAGCAUCAAAACACCUACACUUUGUGUCACCCUAGUGUAGAUAAGGUAAGGCAACACGUAGGUAAGGUAGGUUACACUACUGGUAACACUGGUAAUGUAGGUAACACUAGGUAAGGUAGGUAACACUGGUAAUGUAGGUAACACUGGUAAUAUAGUGUAGGUAACACAGGUAAUGUAGGUAACGUAGGUAAUGUGGUACUGGUAAUGUAGGUAACACGGGUGAUGUAGGUAAUACUGGUAACGUAGGUAAUGUGGGUAAUGUAAUGGUGGUAAUGUAGGUAACACUGGUAAUGUAGUAGUAUGGUAAUGUAGUAAUGUAAUGUAGGUAACACUGGUAAUUAUGCCUCGGUGCGCAUGCGCAAGCGAGGUAUACAGUAGUGUGUUUGUGUGUGUGUGUAGACUGCUACAGCUGCUCAAGGAUGAAUCAAGUGCAAGUAAGUGCAAGUAAGAGUUUCUAUAGGCUUCUAGUCAUGUUUACUUGGAUUUUAAUUGGAUUUUAAUUCGUGGAUUUGCAAAAUAAUGCUUCAUUCUCGAGGCCUUUUCAGAAGAGCACGUAGUCAAACUAGUUCACCGACUCUACUUAGUAGCUAGCUCUACAUUACCACGAUAGCUAUUGAUAGCUGCAAGACUAGCAAAAGAGCUGCCAUUCUGAAACCAAGCCCCUUUCUUUUGGAAAAUUAAGGGGCGUGGUUCCCGUCUAUCUAAUUAUUUUUGCGCAUGCCCAAGUCAUCCUCCUCCUCCUCGUGUUUAAUACUGGCUAUUCUUAUUUUUGGUUUAUUCUUUCUGAGAGCAACAAUCUUCCUUGAUCCUUGGUAAGUGAUUGCUGAUAUUGCGAGAGGCUACAUAGAAAUUGUACAUAAUUUUUUGUUUACAGAUACUAUUAUGCCUUUGACAAAGGUGUGCUUUGACAAAGGUGUGCACGCAGUGUUCUUCAAUAGAACACUGCAAAAGAUUCGUUAUGAAGCAUUCACAGGUCAGCAGCAAAGCUAAGUUAAAAAAUAAAUUAUCUAUGUGUCUAUGUCUAAAACGAGAGCAGUUGAGACAGAGCCUGAGAGUAUUUUACGUAAAGCAAUGAAUAGAAAGUCCAUGUCUAAAGCAAGAACAGUUGAGUCAGAGCCUGAGAGUAUUUUACGUAAGGCAAUGAAUAGAAAGUCCAUGUCUAAAGCAAGAACAGUUGAGUCAGAGCCUGAGAGUAUUUUACGUAAAGCAAUGAAUAGAAAGUCCAUGUCUAAAGCAAGAACAGUUGAGUCAAGAACAGUUGAGUCAGAGCCUGAGAGUAUUUUACGUAAAGCAAUGAAUAGAAAGUCCAUGUCUAAAGCAAGAACAGAGCCUGAGAGUAUUUUACGUAAAUCUAAGGAUAAGCAGUUGAAGAGUAAAGCAAGAUCUGUGAGACAGAGCCUGAAAAGCAAUGAAUAGAAAGCCCAUGUCUAAAGCAAGAGUCAGACCCUGAGAGCAUUUUACGUAAAGCAAGAACUGUUGAGACAGAGCCUGAGAGUAUUUUACGUAAAUCUAAGGAUAAGCAGUUGAAGUUGAGUCAGAGGCUGAGAGUAUUUUACGUAAAGCAAUAGGUCUAUGUCUAAAGCAAGAGCUGUUGAAACAGAGCCUGAGAGUAUUUUACGUAAAGCAAUGAAUAGAAAGUCCAUGUCUAUAGCUAGAGCUCUUGAAACUGAGCCUGAGAGUACUUUACGUAAAUCUAAGGAUAAGCAGUUGAAGUCUAGAAAAAAGAGCUAGAGACCGUAGAGCUAAUAAGAAUAAAUGUUUAAUGGCUACUAUAAGAACGCGUACUAAACCAAUUGAUGUUGUUAUUGACGAGUUUAUGGCAAAGGUUAGAAUUGAACCCGAUUAUGUGUGUACUAGCUGCCACAGGAUGGCAUAGUUUUGUUCCAUUCAAGCCUUCCAAGUAUACUAAAGCUGAUUCUGAACUCAUUGACAGGCUGUCUCAGCAUGAAUGUGUAAGCAAUAUUGACAGGGAAAAAUAUGUUUGUAAAACCUGUGAUGGUAGAGGUGUACUACCUGUUCAAGCGAAAGCUAAUGGUAUGGAACUAGACAAUGAGCCUGACGAGUUAAAAUGUUUGAAUGCACUAGAGCAAAGAUUGAUGUCACUGCGUGUCCCGUUCAUGAAGAUGGUAGCAUUGCCAACUGGAAAGCAAAAGUGUAUUCAUGGACCAGCUGUUAAUGUACCCUCAAAAGUAGACCCAAGGUUGCCCUCUGAGUGUGAGCUAGUACCAUUGAAGUUAAAGCGCAAGUUAUCCUAUAACUAUGUCUCCCCAGAAAGAUUAAGUAGUGCUCUGAGAUGGCCCGUUAAAAGCAAAUAAUCCAUUGUAUGCAAAUAUCAAAAUUAUUGAUGAUUGGGUAGAGAAUGCAAUAGCAAAUGAUGAAGACCUAGUAAUGACCAUGUUAAAGCAAGGCGAGCCUAUGGAUGAUAGUGACACAAGUGACCCCCAGCGUAUGGAAGUCGAUGGUACACUAAAAUGCUAUCGCUCAGAAUAAAUAUUUGGAAAAGCACAGUAGUGUACUUACCAUUAACGAAAGUUGUACACACUGAAAUACCAAACGUGUCUUCAAUGAAUGUGCCCAAUGCCCGUAUUAGAAAAGCAGCUCAAUGCGCACAGCGAAUUUUUGAAAAUGACCAACGGGGAAAGGGAAUAUCUCCCUGAAUUGUAGAGCAUGGAAUUGAUUUGUGUCAGAUGAACCAUUCAGCAAGCGGGAUAUGAUAUCUAAAUUUGGCCAGCGAGUAAUAGUCUAGCUAUUGUCACGACAUACCCACCUGCAUCGCUCAACGUGCUUCAAUUAGAGUUAGCCUUGCUUAUUGUGAACCUUUUUAAUGACAUUCGUUCAUUAUUCAUUAUGUUCUAUCAUGUUCAUGCAGUUAAGAUCAAGAUCAUGUGAAGAGUAUUAGUAUUUUCAGUGGUUCGAGAGUACUCAGAGGUAACCAAUCGUACUGUACCAAUAGAGAUUAUUCAUGCAGGUUGCUAACAAGUUGCCAGGCAUUGGCUCAAGAAAUACAGGCUCAAGAAAUACACAACUGAAAUUGACUCUAAAGUUGAUACUACAUAAGUGUGUUUGACUAUUCUAUUUAGCUCUGCAUGCACUAGAAUCCUAGUAUUGUUGCUAUGAAUCGGCUGGUUUGGUACACUUGGAUUGGUCAGUGUAAGCUGAUACAGGUACUCCUAUAUAAUUAUAAUUAUACUAGCUAUAGCUGGCAGGGGUUUCUUUGUACUCGAUGCCAAAACACCAUUCGCCCCAAAAAAGCAACAGACACAUGAUACUGAGAAACAAAGAAGACAUGCAAGGAGUGCUCGAAAACAAACACAGAAGUUCGCGCACUUUCUCAGGAAGGAGCCAACUUGUGGUUUUGUUGUGCCUUGGCAAUCUAUUCUGCGAUGUAUGUAAGUGCAGUUUUGUUAUCCCACCCUCAGUACAUUGACCUUGUUGCUUGAAAACUAGACUGCAUUCUCCUUACGUCGUGGAGAAUAGGUGCAUUCUUUGCACUCUUCCUCUUCAUAUGCAAGCAGAAGAGGAAGUAGAUGUACAACGGCAGUAUGUUGACUUUGUGUAUUAUUGCAUUAUUGCACACAAUUAAUUGCCCCAAAUUGCCCCACAUUGUUAGACUCUGACAAAGAUAUUGUUGAACUUCUCAGUUAUAACCUUUGCACAAAUCAGGCUAUUUAUAUACAGCACACAUAAAAUAUUCUAGAUCAAAUAAAUAAAGACCAUUAGUUCUGUGUAAAUAGAAUGAUAAUUAUUAUAGUAAGACCACAGUGUCGUUGUCAACAGAUCUUCCUGCAAAUUGCUUCUAAUAGUUUCAUACGAGCAUGAUCUUCGCUCCCACUGUCUGUAACUAGCGAGUGCAAUUCUGCUUCCUUUCUUACACUAUCAGAACACUUAGCAUCUUUCACAUAGUAACUGCACGGUUGCGUCACGAUAUCUCAAGCAACGAGUUGUAGCCCGAGUCAGCAGCAACUUUCCAUUCAUCUGCCAGAUGAUCAACUAUUACUACAUCCACAUAUUCAUCAACACCGAACCGCACAGGUCGCGUCUUUGCUUGUGAACACCGCUGCUGUUGUUGUUCCUGAGUGCUAAUCUGUUUGUCAGUCUGUCCAAGUCAACUGUUACUUGCUCGGGCAUAGCAAAAUUCAGUUCAUUGAAAACAUCCAUCGAAUAGUCUGUUCCCGAUACUGUCGUACUUUCUUGUCCAUGUCAUGCACCUUGAAAUGGCAGGUUUCCUUGGUUCUGAUCUGUUUCGAAUAGAGAGUCCCAAUGGUCAUUCGUUUGCCUCGAACUCCAUAAAUUUUUCAAAGACUUCAGAUUUGUUUUUUAAGAAGUGGACAGUCUAUAAAAUAACGUUUUCCACCGAUUGAUUCGUCCACAUCACUGUGUACUAGCUGGAGCUUUCGACUCGAAUGGUGACUCUCUCCUACUGAUUCAAACGACAUUUUACCCUUCGCCUUCACAGAAAGACAAUCUGAGUUCACUUGGUAGUUUCACACUUGGUAGUAAAGUUUUUAGAGACAACCUUUCAACACCUCCAUACAAUUGCACAUAUGCUUGCUUACCAGAGACCACUAGUACUCUUUGUGCCAACUAAUCUGGAAGCAUUGUGCAACAAGUAUUGGAUUAUAUCGAUCAAAUAACGACACACAAUAAUCUAGCUUUUACAAAAGAAGGAUAAAGCACAUGGUACAUGGUGACCCAUGAAUACAUGAUUACAUAACAUCAGAUAAGAUUACAUAACAUAAUAAUCUCUACCAUAGAGUCUGUUCGCAUUUUCCUGCCCCCUUAGUUUCUCAAGGGUGUCUCUCGGUAAUCCGCAUAUCUGCUAUCAUUUCGGUAGUCUGGCAAUACUCGAGCGUAAUAGUUCGUUUGUUUACAUUGUCUCAAACAAAAUACACCUUAAUGUCAAUGUGUUUAGCUCUGCCAUGAUAUUGUGGAUUCUUAGCCAUUGACAUAGCUGCUUGGUUGUCCUCACGGAGGCUUCUCUGGUUUUCUUUUGAGCUCUGUUAUCAGUUGGUUCAACCAGAGUGCUCCUUGGGUUGCGAUUCGGCCUCGGCUGUUGACAGAGCCACAGUCGGCUGUUUUUCGAUUCUCCAGCUAAUUACUGCUUAAACAAGUAGCCUGAUGUCGACUCCAGCAUAAUCAGAAUCUGAGUAUCCAAUGCACGCUUCACUUUUAGAUCUGCUGUACAAACAAUCCUGUCUUCUUGAGAUAUCCGUUUUACAGCAGUCCAAUGCGGAUUCGAAUAAUACUUGUUAACAGCUGUUGACGCAGGCUGCUGAUUGAUAGAUCGUUUGAUCAACACACUCAUCUUCAUCAGUUGCCUUUGAGCUUGUAUCAAUAGGUGGCUUUGAGUCCUGCAUUCCAAAUCUCGAUAGUACACGAUCGAUAUAGGCUUCUUGACCAAUCACAUGCCAAGGAAUGAGUGUAGUGGUCCCAUAUUUUUAACAUCGAAUUUUUCUCCAAGGGACUCAAUUACUUUCGAAAUUCGAUCCACACUCUUCCCACAAAGAAUUAUGUCGUCUACAUACACUCCUAGUUCUUCAUCAGUAGAAAUGUAGAUACAAGUUGAGCUGUGCAAAACCUUGGACUCAGUUUACAAACAAGACGUUCUUUACCCAAGACAUUCUUUACCAGUCUUUUCAAAGCUUUCGGGCUGUUUCAUAUAAACCUACUGUCCAUUUAGGAAAGAUAUCGACCUGAUGUCAUGUUGAGCACUUAGUGACUCCAUUCUAACGACAGGACAAAAGGUCUCUUCAUAGUCUGCUCCUUGCUGUUGGGUAAAUCCUUGGCGACUAAACGGGCUUUAUACCGCUCGACCUUUCCGUCUGCAUCAGUCUUGAUUUUAAAAACUCAUUUGCUAGUUUUCUGUGUUCUGGAAGUGGUACUAGUUCCCAGACAUCAUUGUCCAUUACCAUUGCUCUCCCACUUCAACUUUUGUUUACUGGUGAGAACUUGCUUGACUGUCUACUUGCUCAAUAGCAUGUCGCCCGCUCUCCAUAAUAGUCCGGUCUUUGCCUCGUUCUUCCUGAUCUUUGUUCUGUGACUGUUUCUUCUCUAGAGUCUUCUUCUUCUUCACUAGUUUCAGGUAAGUCUAUCACAACAUAUCGAAUUAGGGUGAACUCUUUAUCAAGAUCUGUCUCAUUGAAUUUACAGUCAUAUUGCAUCGUCAUACAAUCUGUAUCCUUUGACAUUCGUUCCGUAUCCCAUCAGAAUACAUUUCUUGCCAGAGUUUCUUCCGCUCAUCUUUCGGCACAUGUGCGUAGACAACACAUCCAAAUGUUUUGAGGAGGUGACUGACAUUUGGUUUCAAUCCAGUAAGAGCUUCGUACGGGGUCAUACCCUAAACUGCGGGCUCAUGUUCCUGAGAUUGGCUGCUGUUGACAAUGCCAGGCAGUUUGCUCGUGGCUAACAUAGUUCGAUAAGUGUUUGGUUUAAGCGUUACCGUUUUGUUGUUGCAGGGUUGUUCGUUCGUUCAUGCUUUAUAGAUUGCAGGUAUUCUUGAAAUUGGUUAGAGGUGUACUUGUCAGAUCUUAUUGUCAGAUCUUAUUGCUUUGAGUUUGUGACCAGUGCCUUUCUCCACCAUUGUUUUCCAUAAACCUCGUCCUUGGUUUUUAAAAAAUAAACCUAUAUGAAUCUCGUCUUAUCAUCGAUAAAGGUCAAAAGAUAUUCUGCACCUCCAAUCGUGUUGUGUUUCAUUGCUAGAUCCUCGGAUGCUACCACAUGAGCAACAACAAAGAACUGUUUGUGGAAUAUCGAGAACUUAGUACGCCUGAAAAAGUCACGAUGGAAGGUGUCUUGACGUUGUGGGUAAAGGCACAGUUGAACUGAAAAUGGUGCUACCUGACAACAAGAAAACCAAGCGUCACAAACUGAUGAACACAUUGUAUGUCUCUAUCGAUUUGUUUAGUAUUGCAAAGGUGGCGUGAGCAAGGAUGCUACAUCAACUGCCAAGCGAGUUAGAAGUAUUUGGAGUAUUUGGAGUGUGGAGACAUCCCUGAACAGACAUCCGGCCUGUGACUAGAGCUUCACCGUCACUAUCAGAGUUCUCCCUCUGUUUUCCGACCAAAUCGUAACAGUCUCGCUUAUAAUGUCCAUACUAUAAUGUCCAUACUUUCCGCAUUGAACAUACUUUCCGCAUUGAUGACAUUUAUCUUUCUUUUUAAAAGUUUUUACAGCUUGACAGUAUGUCUCUUCUCGUUGUCUCUUCUCGUUUAACUCACAUCUACAUUGCUAACAAAUAGACAAUUGCAUCAAAGUCAUUUGUGGAGAACAACUUUCGACGAAGUUUGAGUUUGAUGUUUUUCUGUCAAACAGUGGAACCGUCCUCGACUCAGCCAUACUCGAUUCCUUGGCUUGAUACUACUUGUCACGUCACUCGUCUUCUAUCAAACAAGAGCUCUAUACGUUUUGUGCUCUUCUGUGUUUCGUGGUUUUGUUAGCUACAUAUUUUCGUUUCACUCGUGCGCAUCUUGUUGUUUAUGUGAGGCUGUGUGCAGACACACAUAGUUCCGGCUACAUAAAUGAGUCAAUGUUUAGCAGGAUAUUAAAGGGACGUUGGUGGGGCUAAAGCGACUAUCUUCGUGAGGCUAUUGCAUGUUGGCUAUUGCGCAUGCUUAGACUGAAUUUUGUGACCGGACCGGGGCGCCACUGGAACGCAUGUGUCAGCGUAGCAGAGAUACUGAACUGAUAAACUCUUGAACUCUGACUCUUAUCGUAUGUCAUGUGAGACAUGGUUCACAUGACAUACGAUAACAGUGGAGGUCCUGCCGAGACAAACCUGUUGCAGAGUAUUAGAUGCUAUAGAUAGCAGAGUAAGAUCUAUUAACACAAUUUGCAGAGCAAAAUACAAAAAGAAUAAAUAGUGAGACUUUAUAGUACAAAACAGAAAAGCUAAAAAUAACUUUCUAUUCUUGACAAGUGUACAUCAUAACACCUAUGUAAUGCAUUCUAAACACUCUAACAUGUUCUAUCAAGUUCCAACACUCCUUCUCACUUGCUCAAGAAUGAGACAGGUAGAGAAACAAUUCCAGCCAUCUUCCUCAACAAUUCGAAAGUACCACAUGACAGUCCAUAUCAGCCACCAUCUGACUACUCGGACAAUACUUAAGUUCAAUAGUUCCAGCACUGACUUGCUCACGAAUGAAAUGAUGUCGUAUAUCUAUGUGCUUUGCUCUUCCAUGAAAUUGAGCAUUCUUUGACAUUGAAAUGGCUGACUGAUUAUCCUCAUAGAUAACUGUAGCUUCAGUCGGUUCACUUCUCAGUUCUGAGAUAAGUUGUCUUAGCCACAUUGCUUCUUGAGUAGCACUUGAGAGAGCAAUGUAUUCAGCUUCAGCUGUAGACAGUGCUACUGAUGUCUGCUUCUUGCUCCUCCAACUAAUAGGGACUAAUAGGGGCACCACACACAUAUCCGGACGUAGACUUUCGGUCGUCUAAGUCACCAGCCCAAUCUGAAUCGGAGUAACCAAUGAAUUCGUCCACAUUACCAUUCGUAUACAACAAGCCAAAAUUGCGUGUACCCUUCAGAUACCUCAGAAUUCUUUUAACAGCUGUCCAGUGCUGUUUCGUGGGAUUUGAAGAGAAUUUCGCCACAUUGCUUACCGCAAAAGCAAUAUCAGGUCUUGUACCCGUAGACAAGUACAACAAACUUCCAACUGCCGAUUUGUAAACACUUGGAUCAAAACAACACUUGGAUCAAAACAAACAUCACUCUCAACAGACUUAACAAGUUUAGAACUAGCAUCAACCGGAGUGCUAACACACUUUGCAUCCUGCAUGCCAUACUUCUCAAUUACCUUGUCAAUGUACGCAGGUUGACCAAUCCAAACGUCUUCAUCCUGAGCAAUUUUCAUACCAAGGAAAUGAUGUAAUUCACCAAGAUCCUUUACAUCAAACUUCUUGCAAAGAGCUUGUUUGAUCUGUGUGUCACUUUUGCAAGUAUAUAUCAUCAACAUAAACACCAAUAACAGCCACCUCAUCAACAGCCGCUAUGUAAAUGCACGGAUCACUGUAGAAAUCCCAACUCUUUCAGAUAUUCAUCUAAGGUAGCAUUCCAGCACCUUGGAGAUUGUUUUAGUCCAUACAGGCUCCGCUUUAGCUUACAGACCAGAUGUUCUUCACCUUCAGCUAUAAAACCUUCAGGCUGUCGCAUGUAUAGAUUUCCUCUUGUAAUUUUCCAUUGAGGAACGCUGUGGUAACAUCUAAUUGGUGCAGCUUCAAACCGUUUCGUACUGCCAGACUAACAACAGUUCUCAAUGAUUCUAUUCGAACUACUGGAGAGAAAGUUUCAUCGUAAUUGGCUCCUUUAGUCUGCGUAUAACCUUGAGCAACCAACCUAGCUUUAAAGCGUUCAACUCGACCAUCACCGUCAACCUUCACCUUAUAAACCCACUUGCUACCAACAGGUUUCCUGUGUUCAGGUAGUUCAACAAGUUCCCAAACGUCAUUAUUUUGGAGAGACUUCAUUUCAGCCUCCAUAGCUCGUUCCCAUUUGGUUUUGUGGAAACUUGUAGCAACGUCUUCAUAUCAUAUGACUUGGAUUUAUCAAGUUCAACAGAUACUCCUUCUGCAUGAGACCUUCGAGGUUCUGUCUCAGUGACCACUUGAUCAGGUAUGGUCUCUUCAGCACUAAUUUCUUCCAGAGUAUCAACAUCACGACAUUCUUUCAGUCCUUCCUUCUUUUCAGCAGCAUUUGCCUGCUCGUUAAACUGACAAUCCAGGAAAUACAGACUACCACAUCUUGUAGCUGUGGCUAUCACCGCGUUCUUAGAGUUCAUGAUCUGACAACCAGAUUCAUCAAACUUCGUCAUGUUUCCACUUUUAGAUGCCUUUGACACACUAAUCAAAUUGUAGCUGAGAUCUGGAACAUGCAAUGCAUUCUUCACUGGACAUCGUUUCAACCGACAACUUCACUUCAAAAUCAAAGAAACUGUUCCACGACCAACUGCCUUCAAACUUCUACCGUCUCCAAGGCUGACCUUUUCGUUCAAGCAUCGAUAGUCCGUGAACAAGUGUCUUGAGGUACACAUAUGGCUGGUUGCCCCAGAAUCAAUAAUCUAGUCAGCUGAUGUUCUUGCAGCAAAUGCAUGACCAACACUGUCUUCAACUAUUUCUGUGACUUUGUUAGUUUCAUGCUUGUCAUCCUUAGCCUUCAACUGCCAACAGUCUCGUUUAAAGUGUCCCAUUUUUCCACAGUAAUGACAUGGACCUUUCUCCUGGACUUCUUCCAUUUGGCUGGCAUCGCUUUCUCAUCCUCAGCACUGCUUCCACCUCGCACUUUCAGCUUUACUUCGUAGUGCAACAACUUCUCAGUUACAAUUUCCAUCUUUGGAACAUCCUCCAGAGCUGUAACCAAACCACUAAACGAUUCCGGUAAACUCGCUAACAGAUACACAACACGAUCAUCUUCUGUUAAUGGAACAUCCAUUUCCGACAAAGCAUUGAACAAUUCCGUCAUUUCUCGAUUAUGUUCCUGUACCGCGUGUCCUUCCUUUAGCCUCAAGGAGUGUAAUUUCCAACGGAGCUCAAGCCAGGACUUUUUCAUGAACUGGUCACUUAGCCUGGUCACUUAGCUUCUUCCAGACUGUAGCUGGGUCACUUGGCUCGCCAAUCAAAUAGAGCAAACUCGUAUCUAUCGACAACACAACAAUCGCUAAAGCCCGAUCACGUCGUCUCACGUCGUCCAACAUACUUGGCAAAACCAGCGUCCCCUUCUCCUGGUACAAUCUCCGUGCCUUCUACAAUUCUCCAGACUCCUUUCAUUAGAGUCACUGAGUCUUCCAUGUUGCGUAGUUAGUUCCUGACAAUGGGACAAACGCUGUCGUACCCCUAAACUCGGCCAUUUCUUCUACCGACUCGUACUCAACUAGCAAACUCCCAAACUAUUAGACCGCUCGUUACAACAGUCCAAUCAACUCAACUACCAACAGCUGCACUCACUCCACUAAAUAACUAGGCAACUAUGACACUGGGAGAUGCUAGAGAUAGCAGAGUAAGAUCUAUUAACACAAUUUGCAGAGCAGAAUACAAAAAGAAUAAAUAGUGAGACUUUAUAGUAAAAAACAGAAAAGCUAAAAAUAACUUUCUAUUCUUGACAAGUGUACAUCAUAACACCUACACUGUCUUGUUCUAUACACUGUCUUGUUCUAUCAUGUUCUAUCAAGUUCCAACACGUUCUAUCAAGUUCCAACUGUCUGAGACAACCGAGGAAGGCCCUGGGUCAGGCGUUGAGAACCUCAAGUGAAGGCUAGCAUCCAAGUGCAGCCCAGUCGAACCCAACUCAAGCCCAACUUAGAGGCUGUAAGCGAUAAGCGAACUUAGCUAUGGGGUCAGUUAGCAACCUCCACUGACUCCACUGACCAUAGACGAUCGACUGGAGUGAGGAGGACCGGCUCACAUUUUGCAGCCUUUCUUGAGCCGUGAGCCACGUGGUACAUGACAAUACACCCCCAGUUACUUCAAUACGAUCCAGUACUAACUAACAAAAAAUACUUCAUGUCUAGUGCUUACAUAUUGCUUACAUAUUACAGUUGCUUACAUAUUACAGUUUUACAGUUUGUCGAAAUCUCUUAUAGAUCUGGCUGGACUCGCAAGUACGUCUUGAUAAUAGUGCAACUAGCGCCACGGAGUCCACUAGACACUAUACCAGCGGAUACCGUUCAUUCAUUCAGAGAUGCCAACGGAUAACCCGUUUAUUCAUUCAGAAGAUGACAGUAUAUACCAACGUUCUAUUCUGAGUCUAUACCAAUCCGUUCUAAUGACGGGUUGCCGGGUUGCCGUCUUGCUGGAUUGUGGUUGUGAUAAAUAUUAUUGUGUCAAAGCUUAUGUUACAGUAGCGUACAUAAUCAAGGUAACAUUGUACACAAACUGUUCAUUUGGGACCUGGGUGCCUGGCCGUUAUUCGGUGGUGGUGGUGGUGUAUUUAUUACAGUAGACUCUAGCUAUUCCGGCUCUCUAAAGUACGUCCACCUCCUAUACGGCUUGAUGAAAUGUGGCCACUCACUAUUCCGAACUAGGCUUUUUAUUACAGCCGGAAAUGAUGUUUUGGGUGUGGUUGGAUCAUUCAUUUGAAACAGAACGAUUAGUGAGGUCGUUCUUUUAGCCUGAGUAUACCCUCGCUAUUUACCCUCGCUAUUUCAAGCUGCACUGUCCCAAGGGUGGCUGAAUUAACGAAAUAACCAGUAUCAUUCACAAGAACGGCUUACAAUUAUAAUAACUACAAUUAUAAUAACUAUGCAUGUGACACCCUUUGAUUAGUUGGAGUUUGAAGCCAAGCAUAUCUAAAUUUCUCUGGCACUGUCCUGUAACUAGAAAGCACAGUUUGCAUUACUACAGGCGGCUUUGAAUGACAGAAAAUCACCUACCGGGCCACUGUGACUCUAACACAGCUGCUUCUGGAUUUACAGAUUCAAUUGUUGUGGAAAUGUAUCAUGAACAUUACAUGGCCACAAUCACUUCAGUUGUUUGUAUGGUUGGUCAGUUGGAUGGUUAGCUAGUUAUAUUCCAAAUUUCAAGUCAACAGCACCGAUUUUAUAACGCUUAGUGUGUCAAAACCACAAAAUGUUAGUCAACAUCGUGUUGAUAGAUGACUGUGUAGCUUGAAAGCAUACAUACUAUAGAAUGUAAACAGCGUGCAUAAAUAGUAGGUGCGAAGUCAUUGCAAGUUCACAAGCUCAAAACCACAAGCCUGUUUUUAAUACUGCCUUGGCCGUUCGUCUGCUUCUGAGCAAAAAUAAAAUUUGACUCAGAUCUAAGGUCAGUGGUUCCAGCCUCCUCUGGUGUUUCUCUGUAAAAAAGAAUUAGUAAAACUAGUAGGUUUUACAUAGGAUUGGCAGUGGGUUUGCCCAUGUUUAGCAAUAUUUCAAUUAUUUUGACUCAUGUUCAAACUGUUUUAUCUCUGCAGCUCUGCAGGGAAAGGCCACAUCAAGGAACUGGAGCCUUUUCUCUCUUUGUAUCACCGACUAGAAAAACAUUUGCAAUGUGAAAAAUUGCUAGGAUUGGAAAAUUGCUAGGAUUGGCCCAAGGGAAACCUUUUAAAAGCGUGGAAACAAGAAGUGCAUAACUCCAAUUCGUUUCACAUGCACUAAUUCCCGAAAUGUAUUAGGUCUAUUAUGUUAUUUUGUUUACUUUAUGUUGUAUUAUUUGCUAGUAUGUAUAUAGGGUAAGUUGAAUGAUUGGAUAAGUUGAAUGAUUGGAAUGUUUACAUAGUAUUACAUUAUAUACUAUGUGAUACAAGGUAUGUGUUUUAGUUUUGUGAUAUGCCCUUUACAGUUUUGAGCAAAGACAGUGCAAAGUAAAGAACCAAAGAUCUAGAGGAAAUACAGCCCCAAAUAGAAAGAGCAAAAGACAGUCCAGACCAUUCAUUGAUGCAGUACUGAUUGAUGCAUGAAGUGAUUUCAUGACAGAACAAUAGCCUCAGGGCUACUAGCUACUGGGCUAUACUAAGACAGUGCCAAGUAUAAAGAGCCAAAGAUCUAGAAGAAAGACAGUCCCAAUAGAAAGAGCAAAGACAGUCCAGACGCAUGAUAAUGAUUUGAUAACAGACAAUAGCUACUAGCUACUGGGCUAUACUUUUCAACAAAGAGCUAAAAGGGACACACUGUGACAGUGCAUGUGUAUACUGUCAGUGUAUAGACAAUCAUUUACCCUAUACAAUUAACAAACUAUAUGUGAUAGCCAAAGACUGUUCAAUUUGCCACAACCAGAAAUUAAUGAUCUUAUAAUUGAAAGAUUGUUAAUCUGUCACUGCACCAUUGUGAUGCUAUUUUUAUUAUGAUACAAGUUAUCAGCACUAGCUGUACAUGUUCAUGACGUUGUAACGGAUUGGAGUUAUGCACUUUUUCUUGUUUCCACGCUUUUUAAAGGUUUCCCUUGGGCCAAUCCUAGCAAUUUUUCACAUUGCAAAUGUUUUUCUAGUCGGAUUCCCUUUCUUUUUUAUUACAGUAGUAUUUAAAUUUAAUAGUGUUAUAAGUGACAAAGUGUGACGCAAGCUAGUGAAAGAGUAACGUCCAUGGAGUUUGACCCAUCGUCUGUACUAUAGGAAUAUAGGAAUAUUUGUAGUAUAGCCAUCUUGAUAGAGUAAUUCGAAGGUGAGUAGUCAUUUAAUAUUUAUGUAGACCACCUGUAUACAUGUGCACAUACACAUGUGCGUACGCGUAUGUGAACAUGGGAAAAGGUAAGAUGCGUUGACAACCUUUGAAGUUUGUAUAUGAAUGGGGAAAAUUCUAUAUAAAGCAGUUCCCAAUGCUGUUUUCAUCCAAACAAAGCUUAAUAUGUAUAUGGUAAGUGAUUUUUUUGUGGUUGCUUUGCUUACCAGUUUGUAUAACUGUGAUACAGAAUGGCUACAGAAUGGCAACUCCUGAUCCGCCUGAACAAACACCUCAGCGUCCAGCACGGACCACUGUUCCAGUCAAGGCCUGUCUCUAGCUCUCCUCCCAUCUAGCUCUCCUCCCAGUGAUCCUGCAGUGCAAGAUUCAUACGAAUCUAGUUCUUUAGAAGACUACGUGCCUCCUGCUCCUACUCCACAGAGAGGUAGAGGCAGGGGCCGUGGUGGGGAUAUUCAAUGCACCAGUGACCAUAAAGUAGUACUCUUGAUCGAUUGAACUCUUGAAUGUAUUAUUAACAAUUCUAUGUAAAACCUACUGAUAAAAUAAAUUUUUUGCCUGCAAGUGGG
Long non-coding RNA from Halichondria panicea, 21786 nucleotides. RefSeq lists it as uncharacterized. The record is from RefSeq and is a predicted model, not a curated record. The transcript has 9 exons. Lineage: Eukaryota; Metazoa; Porifera; Demospongiae; Suberitida; Halichondriidae.